RNAcentral lists this long non-coding RNA (4285 nucleotides) under Malus domestica (apple). RNAcentral describes it as "long non-coding RNA (MDOM_LNC014853)". Lineage: Eukaryota; Viridiplantae; Streptophyta; Magnoliopsida; Rosales; Rosaceae. The record is from RNAcentral.
CCACCAUCACUUAAUUAUCCUUACAUCUCAUGCAUGCACGAAAACAAAACAUCAUGGUUGGUAGUUUUGCAUUAUCUGCAAAACCAUCAUGAUCCCAUCACAUCACCUUAUUUUGAUUACUCCAAAUGGAUACGAAUGGCAUAUCCACAUGCUGAUCAUCCAAUAUUAAUUGCAUCCUUGUGGUAUUUUUCCAAGUGGUUCUGCAUGCCAGCUAAAUAUGCAACUCUUGCAACUGAUUAAAUAGCAUUUGGAUAGACCUCUAAUGCUGCACGGCAUUUCACAUAACCUCAUCUGCAUGAACCUUUACACGUAUCACAACUCUGUACGCUUUAAGGAUAUUUUUCAGGAUAAUUACUAUGAUAAAAAGAACAAUAGUAAUGUCAAGAAAAAUCUCUAAUCAUCAGACGAUUAGUAGUUAUGCCCAUUCAAUGGCCUUAAUUGCACAGAUCGAUGGUGCAAUUUUGGGUCCAAACAUAAAUAAAAGGAGGCAAUUUUAUAAUUACAAACACAAUAAAAAACUUAGCCACAUUACCACACCCAACAAAACAAAGGAAACUUUAAACGAACAUGUGUUUUUUUUACCCCUCCCCUGUGAAAGUGAAAAGGUAAUUUUAUGGUAAUUGUUUGCACUUGAGGUAUCUUCUUUUAUUAUAUCACAACUUAUAUUAAAAACAAAGAAUUAUUACUUCUUUUCAUUUUUUUAAUAAUUUGUUGGACCAGUGAUAGAGUCAGGAUCUUGCUUCACAGGGAGCCCUUCACAAAUCUGAAACUUUAUUUUUUAACGCCUAAGAUAUUGUGUAGGUUAAUUGUAUUUUUAUUUAUUUAUCUCAAACCGCAUCGACCACAUAGUCACGUAACCCGACUAAUAUUUAAGAGCAAAGCUUAAGAAAGGAGACAAACGAUGGACUAGAAGUUCAAGCCAACAAUCCUUAGCUUAAAAGCAGUCAGUGAUAAAUCCUGACUAUUAGAUUCAGUUACUGUGAUCGAAAAAUUCAACCUAGAUUAAUCCGCUCCUCCCAAAGGUGAACUUGAAGUAAUUAACAAGUACAAUAAGCUACAUCAUUAUACCUAGAACAAGAGAAUCUCAUAUCCAAGAACUCCAAGAUUGCAACUAAACUUACCAGAAGUAAAAGGAGAUCAUGCUUUAUCUUAUACAUAGAAAAUAAAAUAAAAAAUUGCAGGAUAGGCCUAGGACUUCCCUAGUCCCUUAGGGUGCGUUUGUUGCACCGGAUUAUCUCAGACUGGACUAGCUUCAGGGACUAAGUUGGACUGUCUUAGAUUAGACUCAUCUGGACUAACUUAAUGAAACGUUUGGUGUAGUGUCGGACUAAGAAGUUGGACUAACAAUAAAUUAUUAUUAUUAUAUUUUAAUUUCUUUUCUAUUAAAUAUCAAUAUGUAAAAAAUGGCAUCUUCUGAGCAAAUUGUUGGUGCUCCUCUGCACCUUGGAAAUUGCAGAACUUCCCAUAACAAAUGCUUAACCCAAACUUCAGAUAAAUAAAAAAUCGUUCAAUUUGGUAUCCUAGAAAAAUCAGAACUAAUUGAAAUCAUUCAAAAUUUGAUCAACCAAUCCAUUCGUAGAAUCCAGAAAUCGUUCAAUUUGAUCAGAACAAAAUGGUAUCCCAAAAACUCAUAAAUCCAACCUCCCUUCACAAACCAAAAGCAACGAAUUCACAUAAUCCAUCAAAUGUUUCGAAACUUUAAAGAACAGAACAAAUAAAGUAAAAAUAAAAAAAAGGAAGAAAACAAAGCACCUAACCCAGAACCCAAUCAACUUCUGCAAACCCUUCAUAGUUACAAUCCUUCGUAAGGAAAAUUAAAUCAUUCAAGCUCACUUGUAUAUGCAGGACCAGAAUUUCAAUCUGAAAACCUUAAAUCGACGGAGUUCUCUCGAAUUGGAAAUGGAGCUUGUGGGUUCUCUGAUAAAAGGUCGAAUUUGAGAUCUCAUUUGUGAUUCUGGGGUCAGGGUGAGGAGAGAGAGAGAUUGGUGGUGGUUUGGACAUGCGAUGUGAUAUUGCCAUAGUUUGGUGAGUGUAGGACGCGACGUAAAGAAGAAAGCAAAGAAGGACGCGAUGCGAAAAAGAAGAACACAGCGAGGGUCUUAGCAGUCCCAUUGUAUUUUGGGGGGGGGGUCUCGCUAGGACCCUUUAAUGAGAGAAUUAGUGAACACGAGUCCCCUUUAAUCCCAUUAAAAUUAUUCCCACUAUGUAACAAACACAGGACUACACUAAUGAGUAGUCCAGUCUAGUCCAGUGAAGCCACUGGUUAGAGUAACUCCACUAGUUGGUGGAGGGCAAUGGCAAUUGGAAAGGAAGAGUAAUGAAAUUGUCUUCAUUAUUCACUCUAAACAGUAAUUGCCUUUAUGCAAGUCUAAGUCCACACUUUUGGAAUGAGGAAAGGCAAGGGCAAUGUCGAUUACUAUUCAUAAAUAUAUUUUUUUUAAUGUUUGUUUUGUCUUAUCUCCACAUAUCAUUACCGCCGUAAAUUUGAAUAAUUUUAGAGUUGGAUUAGUCAUAGCUAUCAAAUUGGACAAUUUUUUUAAAUCAAAGGCUCACAAAUAGCCACAUGGGUGGGGAAGUGAAAGAACUGGGCUUCAACUCAAGCGCAAGCCCUUGCAAUUGUUGAUGGGAGUAGCUGUAAAACUGCCUUCAACCCCAUAGCUUCCCAUUUUGUGGACUGCUGGAGCUGUUUUCUUCAACCUAAAGACUAUUUAACCUAAUUGGUAGAGCAAUUGCCCUACUGCUGGAGAUGCUUUUAUGAACAAUGAAAGCUUCAAACACGUGAUUUUCCUUUUCUUGAAGAACAAAAAUAAAGAGAUAAGCGAAAGUAAAUUUAUCUACCUGAAUUUCUUGAAUUGUGUAGGGUACCAAGCAAGAACCCUAGUAUCAUGCUGACAGAAAACUCUUCAAUAAUGAUCCUGUUAAAACAUCCCCAACGAGCGGCUCUAUAUGAGGGCUAGAAGAAAAGUGGUGGAUAUAGCCUAAUUUAGAGUUUUGAGGAAUCUUUGGGGCUCUAAAAAAGAAUCUCUCCCAAUAAAGGGCUAUAUAUCUUCCGAGCUCUAUACGAGGCUAUUUAUUUUAUUUAUGUAGUAAUUUGAUGAUGCAGUAAAUUUAUUUUUGUCUUAACUUUUCUUAACUUGAUUUUUUGAUGUGUUAUCUUAAAUUUUAUUUAUGAACUUUUUGACCUAACAAAAUUCAAAUUCUGACAAAGUUAGAUUUUAUCACUUAUGCAUUGUUGUAGGCUCUCUUAUCUCAAUCUCAUCCGUUAGUUUGUUUGUAUGAAAUCAGACUAGAUAAGAUUUUAUUUUAGAAUAACCGUAAGAUUUGAUUAUCUUAUCUCAAUCUCAUUUGGUGGUUUAUUUAUCUAUUGACACAUUCUCCUAAAUCAAACAAGAUUGUCAUUUCAUAACAAACAUUGGAUUGGAUUAUCUUAUCACAAUUUAGUUAUGAUAUUUGUGUAUAUUUUCAGUUUAGGUCUAUAAACUACCAAUGUUAAAUUUCAUCACUUUUUAUGAAUUUUUCAAUCUAGAAAAUUAAACACAAAGCACUACAUUUUUUUCUAAUCAAUCACACAAAAAAUAGUCAUUGUUUGUAUAUGUCUUCUUAAUCAAACAAACGGUUGAAUAAUAAAUCCUUAAAAUCAUGUUUUGGAAUUAAAAAUGGAGUUCACCCAUUUCUAAUCCAAAAAACAGAAAGAAAACAAAAAACAAAAAAAAGGAACAAGAUUAAGCCCUCAAUUUGGUGUGGGCCGCUUACUUUUUGGAGCUAGAUGUAGACUAACUUUGUGCUACCCAAUGAUUGAAGUUGCUAGCCCAUGUGGUGGAUGUAGUCCAAUUUUUUGAUCCAUUAUGGAUAAAGUCCCCAUUGAAAUGCUCUUAAGGUACGUUUGUUGCGCCGGACUGUCUCGGACUGGACUAGCUGCAGGGACUAAGUUGGACUGGCUUAGACUAGACUAAGCUGGACUAACUUAGUGAAGCGUUUGGUGCAGUGUCGGACUAAGAAGCAGGAUAAUAAAAAAGUAUUGGUCACCAGAUUUGUGUUUGCUUAGACUAAGACUACAAAUUUUUGCCAUUGUGUAAUAGAGUAAUGCUACAAAUCUCAUGAUAUGGGUUUAUUGGAGCAUAUUUUUGCCAUGUAUAUUAUGAAUCUUAAAAAAAGAGGACAACUAUUUUGUUUCUAUUACCUGCUAAUAGAAUUGGGACAUACUAUAGUUGGGACAUACUAUUUAUAAAUAGUUGAGAUGAAUUUGCAAAUGUAGCUUGGUUUAAACUCUAUCACCCAAAAGAAG